UACGUAGGGCGCGAGCGUUGUCCGGAUUUAUUGGGCGUAAAGAGCUCGUAGGCGGUCUGUCGCGUCUGCUGUGAAAACUCAGGGCUUAACCCUGAGCUUGCAGUGGGUACGGGCAGACUAGAGUUCGGUAGGGGAGACUGGAAUUCCUGGUGUAGCGGUGAAAUGCGCAGAUAUCAGGAGGAACACCGGUGGCGAAGGCGGGUCUCUGGGCCGUAACUGACGCUGAGGAGCGAAAGCGUGGGGAGCGAACAGG
Molecule: ribosomal RNA, 253 nt
Filed under: uncultured bacterium
Lineage: Bacteria
Description: partial 16S ribosomal RNA
Rfam family: Bacterial small subunit ribosomal RNA
Source: RNAcentral